This 4539-nucleotide long non-coding RNA is filed under the name Olea europaea subsp. europaea. The record is from RNAcentral. Lineage: Eukaryota; Viridiplantae; Streptophyta; Magnoliopsida; Lamiales; Oleaceae.
AGAAAGAUGACAUUGGCAUAGUAUGAAGUAUAAAAUCAUUAUUUUAAUGUCAAUCAAUUGAAAUAUAAUGAUUGCAUUUGAAUUCAAUUUAAUAAAAUAAUUUUAAAAAUCUCGUACCUUAUUUCAACUCAAUAUUUCCCAAAUUCAGUCAUUGUUCAUUAUGUUUUUGGCACAUAUAAGCAAGAGAGGUGAGUAAUUUAAGAAUAGAUCCUUAUAACGAGAACUCAGUACUCUAUUCCUUUUUCGUAAAAUCAUAUUUUUUUUUUUUACAAAGUCUACAGAAUCGAUUUAUAACUCUGGGCUCUGAUACUAUACUGUAACGCACCGAAAUUUUAUAGACUUAAAUUUUGAUGUGUUAUCGAUAUCAUUCCAUAAUCAUACAUCAAGCGGAAAAUAAAAUUAAAAGUUUAAAACUCCUAAUUUAUUUAAUACUCAAAUACUGAAUAAAAACAUAAUGUCACGUAAUAUAGUACAUUAAAUGGGAAUAAAUAAAAAAUGCAAAAUGUCCUAACUGAAUUAUGUUUAAAUAUUUUUAUAAAAAAUUUUACUUGGUAGCCCACGCACCACUAAGCCACCACCAACGUCGAUCGAUCUGACCUGAAAUGUUAAAAUUGAAGAAAUGAGUAAUUUUAUAUUCAGUACGAUAUGUGCGUCCAAAAAUUGUAAUAACUUUUAAAACAUGAAUUUAUAACAUUUCAUACAAUCAUUUCAUCAAGAGAAAUUGAUGAUCAAUCGAAUACUUUUAACGCAUUUAAGAAGACCCGAAGGAGAUCUCACAUUUCAUUUCAUUUGGACCCGCAGGUCAAUCAGCAUUUCAUGAAAUAAAUCACGUAGAAAAAAUUAAAAUAUUGCAAGGACAACCAACUUGCACAUAAUAUCCUACCUCGUUUUGACAAAAAUCUGAAGGCACACUCAAAAUAUUUUUCUACGUCUCUCUGCUACCACAUUCAAUUGAUGCACACUAUUUUGAUUUCACAAAUAUUUCCAAAUGAAUUGACAUGAAAUGGGUUGUUUUGGUUUCUGAUAAAACAAUGGCUUGUUGGCAAAUUUGUGUUAUAUAAUAGGAAUAAAGAAUAGCUUUCUAUUGGAAAUAAUGUGUGCUUACCACCUGACUUUGCAGUAUAUAAAUAGGACAGAUUCCCCAAUAAACUGAAAUUGUAAAAAAAAAAAAAAAAUACGUACAUGUUGAUUGGGUUUAUCUAGAACAUGUGAUAAGCCAAAAUCUUAUACCAUGCAACAAAAAAUCUAGUCAAAUUGUACUAUAAUAUCAUCUUAUUCAAUUAAAAAAAAAAAAAAAACCCCACUAUCUCUAUCCAAAUACACGUGGCAGCCAUCUAUCAAUCUCCGAAAAAAAAAUCAAAACUAAUAAACAAUAAAAGAAAACUGCCUUAUCUACUUACACAUUGCAGCUCACUAUCAAUCCAAGAUUAAUUAAGUUGAAAAAAAAAAAACUAGUUUUUUGUAAUUUAUUCAAACUGUAAUAUCUUGAAGCUAGCUUAUCCGAAUCGACUUUUUCUCUAGUUUAAAAUGUAUAAUUAAAUGAGCUAUCCAACGAGUAUAAUAUUAAUAUACUUAUCAUCAUUCUAUCCAAAUCCAAAUAUUAAACCCAAAGAAUAUAAGAAUUUAAAAAUAUAUUUCAUCUUAAUCCCUCAACUUUCAAAAUAAGAAAAUAUAAUAUGCGGAAUAAAUAAAUUUUUAUUGUAAAAUUUUCGGGAUGUUACACUUUGAAUUUACAUAGCCAUCGAAGAAGGCAUUUAUACUCUUACUGUGUUGAGUUCUUGAUAUCUUUGCCCAAAAAGUGGUUUAUAAAUAGCAAGAAACCCAAUGGCCUUUAUUCUUUUAUAGUCCCAACAACUAAUCAUUAUCAUGCAAAUUAAACGUUUCGAUCAUCAUUUCCCAACCUCAUUCAAACUCUUCAACAGACUGAGAAUCAUACACCAAUUCAUUUGUCAUAGAAAAUAUUGAAACUUUAUUGACGUGGAAGUAAAUGAUAUGGCAGAAAUUCCGUUGCACAAAAGCUACAACUUCGUAAUUGUUGAAGCAGCUAGAUAUGAAAAUAUUACUUGCGUGGAAAAUGAUUGUUGAAAUUAUAUUGAACAAGUGAGAUAAUUAAGAGUUGGAGGAGGAGAUGCCGCAACAAUGCAGUCCUACUUUUCCAAGAUGCAAGCCCAAUGCUCAGUAUUUUACUUCAAUAUAGAUUUGGACAAUGAGUCUCGACUGAGGGAUGUAUUUUGGGCAGUUAAUAGACCUCGAUAAGCGUACAAGGAGUUCGGUGACAAUAUCACAUUUGACACCACUUACUUAACUAAAAAGUACGAUAUGCCUUUCACCCUUUUUGUUGGUGUUAAUCAUCACGACAAUCAACACUGCUCCGUUCUAGUUGUUGUCUAAUGAGGGCACGGAUACUUUUGUGUAGCUAUUUAGGACACGACUUUAGUACAUAUAUAGAAAAGCUCCCCAUAGAAUCAUUACCAAUCAAGAUAGGGUCGUGCAAAAUGCAAUUGUUAGAAAAAUGUAGAUACCACGUUGAUAAGGCUUCAAUUUUUUUGAGCAUACAUGGAUUAGUGUAUGAUUCGUAGUUUGUUUAAGAAUUUGAAGAAGGUUGGAGAGCGAUGAUCAACGCGUAUGACUUGCAUAGUAAUGAUUGGUUAUUGGGACUGUUCGAUAAUAGAGGUCACUGGUUCCUUGCUAUUUAAAGACCACAUUUUGGGCGGGAAUGUCGACAACUCAGCGUAGUGAGAGUGUAAAUGCCUUCUUCGAUGGGUAUGUUCAUUCGAAGACCUCGUUUAAGAGUUUGUCGAGCAAUAUGAAUAAGCACUGAGGAGCAAGGUUGAGAAGGAGUUCCAAGCUGACUUCAAAUCAUACUUGUAAAUGGUACCGUGUAUAACAAAGUUCGAAAUGGAGAAGCAGUAUCAAAAGAGUUAUACCAUUUCGAAGUUCAAGUGGAACUCAUUGAGAAGGUUUAUUGUGACAUCAUAUCUAUUACAGAUGUUACUACAGGGAUGACUUACGAAAUAUGAGAGGUUGUCAUGUGUGAUGAACGAUAUAAAAAUAAAAAAAGUUCUUCAUCCCCAUUUCAGAUAAAUAUCUGUAAAAUUGUUUGCAGUUGCCACUUGUUUGAGUUUCAGAGAAUUCUGUUUCAGCAUGCUAUCGUGGUGUUGAUUCGUAAUGAUGUCACAUCAUUGCCUAAGAGGUAUAUACUAUGGUGGUGGAGGAGAGAUGUAUCUAGAGCACAUACCAGGGUCGCAAUGAGCUACGAUGGUUUUGUUAGUACUCCUGAAUAGUUGAAAUACAACGAUAUGUGUUUAGUGUUUGUGGAGGUUGCAAACCUCGCUACCGAUGAUGAAGUGCGGUCCCAUGUGAUAAAGGAGUGGAUAAUUAAUAAAAAACAAGAGCACUCACGAUAAAGUCAGAUAGUGGGAGUAAUAUCAUUUCACAUGUUGGUAGACAGUUCACCUCUCAGUGCAAUGAAUCCAAGGAUGAUGCAAGCGGGUGCAUACGCGAUCCUAUAACAACUAAGAGAAAGGGCGCACAAAAGAAGCUUCGGAAAAAAAUGUCCGUUGGAGUCCUCUUCAAAGAAAGCAAAGGUAUGUUGGUCAUUCUUUUUGUUAAUGUAAACAAUAUUCCACUACAACAUUUAUGUACUACAUAUUUACGUGUAGACUACUACCAAAGGAAAGAGGCAAAUGUUGAGUCAUAGUAACACGCCAUUGGUUGCAUCCAUCGUUCAAGCAUCUCACCAUAUUUAAUACAGACACCUUUUUCGUAUUCACAACUAUUGGUGGUUAGUAUAUUUAGUGAUUUAGUUUAUUAUCAUUAUUUGUUUGAUACUAAUAAUUGAGUUCUUGUUCGAUGUAGGGCGAUGCAGAAAGUCAUACUUACCCGCAACACUUGCCAGCCUCGAGUUUGGUCCAUCCAACGUCAACAAAUCUCAUAAUUACUUCUCAAGGUUUACACAUGUUUAAAUCUUUCCAUUUUCAUUAGAUUUUGUAGUAUGCGUGUGCAUAUGUUCAUAUUCUACAAUAUGUGAUUCGGUUCCAUACUACUAUCCACAUUUUUCCCAACAAGGUGGCCCUGGCUAAAUGCUAACUGGAAGAGGAAGAAGACUGUAGAGCAGUGAGGGUAUUUCUUGGAGCUACAAGAAUAUCUAGGAGACUAAAAGCUAUGGGAGAUUGGUUGGAACUAGCUGAUUGAAGACAUUUAAGUUUUGUUCUUCCAUGUGAUGUAAUUUUGGAAUUUUAACAAAUCUGCCUUCAUUUAAGCUGUUCUAUUUUUAAGUAUUUCAAAGACCAUCCUUGGUAUUGCUGUUGAAGAUUUUUCAACACGCCAUUGCUUUUGGGUAAUGUUGCUUCUGCUAUUACAAAUCUACCUUCAUUUCAUCAUGCUUUCUGGUCAUCUGUCUUAACCAUUAGCAUAAAGUUAUGAAUCUUGUGAUUCCAAUUAGAAAAGAACUUAAUCAUUAGCAUAAAGUCUUAGAGAUCCUCGCGGUUUUGCUGUGAAGUUUUACAUGAAAGAUGUAUUCAACCUUUUAGUUACCAA